This 1529-nucleotide long non-coding RNA is filed under the name Sus scrofa (pig). RNAcentral describes it as "lncRNA (ENSSSCG00025035582.1, ENSSSCG00065017758.1)". The record is from RNAcentral. Lineage: Eukaryota; Metazoa; Chordata; Mammalia; Artiodactyla; Suidae.
AUGACUUCCUGCUCAGAGUUACUGAUAAUAUUUUUUGGAAUGCUGAAUAUGUGCCCAGUCCUGUGCUGGUCCCUUUGCAUAUUAUCUCACCUGUAUAAUGUGCCAGGAAGAUGGGCGGAAGCUCUUUCUCAAGCCUCUCCUAACUCCAGGCACCAGGAUGCUGACAUGCCACCAGAGGAAAGUGUGGCCUUGAGGAAUGUGAUUUUCUCUGCCUGCUCUUUUUAUCUUCACCAUCAGCAGCCUGGCUUCCUUGGCAUGGACGCAAGCAUGGUCAUCAAGAUUUCCCAGGUUUCCUGUCCUACAGCUUUCACCACUAUCGACAGACUGCAGAUGUUUCUCGGUUAUAGACCGAAAAGUCCCAGAGAAGAAUGCUGAUUGGCUCCUCCUCAACCACUUGCCCAAUCCUGGAGCUUCCCAGUGUUGCCAGGAGAGCAGAGAUUGUCAGAAAAGUUGAAAUCAUGGCUCUAUCUAUUCUGAAUGCCCUAAUCAGAUAGGAACAAAGGGGGAGAUGGAGAUUUUCUACCCUGACCUGGAUUGGAGUUACACAGGCAACUGCUUUGCAAUUACUUGUUAAUCUAUGCAUUUAUAUUGUAAACAUUUUUCAGUAUGAAUGCUCUAUUUCACGACAGUUGUUUAUUUUUCUUUAAGUUCAGUUCUGGAUCUAAAUGAAAAAACAAAAGUUAUCCAUAAAAAAUAUCCAAUUUUGCUCCUUAAAAAUGAUGUCUUGGGGCGGGGGCGAGGGGGCGCUGCCUCAACUCUGCACCUCCAUUUUUUCCUUUGGUGACAGCAAGUUGAUCAUAGCCCCCAUCGGGCUUGUCCCAAGGAAUAGCUGAGAAAGUGCCUAACAGAGGAUCUUUUAAGUUUUUAAAUAUAUGUAUGUAUGUAUAUUAUAUGCAUAUUAAUACACAGCUGUAGAAGAUGAAAAUAUAAGUCAUUGACAUCAAGGAAAGGAGAGGGAAACGAAUUCUGAAUCAUGUUCCUUAACAGCCCUCUUUUCUUAUUUCUCUAAAAGGGCAGAGGGAGCAGGGGAGGGACUUGGACUCAAGACGAUAUCAUUCAAAUUAACUAAUUUGACAGGAGGAGGAUCCUAAUAACCAGCAAACCCCCAGAUUUCCCAAAGAAGAGCCACCAGGUAGUGUGGGAGUCCCCUGGUAUAUUUGGGAGCCCCAGUGGAAUACAGAGGACUUGAAGAACUCUUUAAUUCCCCUCUCCUUCUGGCCUGAAGAAAAUGAGUCCAGGCUUGGAGAACAGACUUGUGGUUGCCAAGGGGGAGAGGGAGGGAAUGGGAUAGACUGGGAAUCUGGGGUUAACAGAUGCAAACUAUUGCUUUUGGAAUGGACAAGCAAUGAGAUCCUGCCACGUAGCACUGAGAACUGUAUCUGGUGAUGGAGCAGGAUGGAGGAUGAUGUGAGAAAAAGAAUGUGUAUGUGUAUGUGUGACCGGGUCACUUUGCUGUCCAGGAGCAAAUUGACAGAACACUGUAAACCAACUAUAAUGGAAAAAAUAAAAAUCAUUAAAAAGAAAGAAAG